UGCACCUGCCCCAUGCCCAUCUCCACACCCCACCUGCGCUUGUGCUCCCAGCGCUCUCCACCAGGAAUCCCUUCCUCUCCCAUCCCAAGUCCUGCCAUAUUGCAAGGCCAGCUCAAGGUCCACACCCCUCCACCUUGCAUCCUCCCCCCCGACCCCCGUCAUCCCAGUCACAUCAGUCUACCUGCCUUGGCACCUGGAAUACUACUUCCUGAUUAUCACAAGACUUGCUGUGCUACCUUUUGUGGUCAUUUC
RNAcentral lists this long non-coding RNA (252 nucleotides) under Homo sapiens (human). RNAcentral's name for it is "non-protein coding lnc-BASP1-12:1". The record is from RNAcentral. Lineage: Eukaryota; Metazoa; Chordata; Mammalia; Primates; Hominidae.